RNAcentral lists this microRNA precursor (204 nucleotides) under Oryza sativa Japonica Group (Japanese rice). Its description in RNAcentral is "MIR812 microRNA precursor family". It matches the Rfam family "MIR812 microRNA precursor family". Lineage: Eukaryota; Viridiplantae; Streptophyta; Magnoliopsida; Poales; Poaceae. The record is from Rfam by way of RNAcentral.
AUUGAGUAUAGUUGUGGGAUUAUGUGUCCAAUGUUUAAUCGUCCGUUUUAUUUGAAAUUUUUUAUGAUUAAUAUUUUUAUUGUUAUUAGAUGAUAAAACUUGAAUAGUACUUUAUGCGUGACUUUUUUUUAUUUUUUUCACAAACUUUUCAUAAACCCUACUGGACUUAAAAUGGGACGGAAGGAGUACAUUACUACUUUAAGC